RNAcentral lists this non-coding RNA (24 nucleotides) under Arabidopsis thaliana (thale cress). Lineage: Eukaryota; Viridiplantae; Streptophyta; Magnoliopsida; Brassicales; Brassicaceae. The record is from RNAcentral.
AUGGGUUGCCAAAAAUCAAAGGUA